This 466-nucleotide ribosomal RNA is filed under the name uncultured bacterium. Its description in RNAcentral is "partial 16S ribosomal RNA". It matches the Rfam family "Bacterial small subunit ribosomal RNA", at positions 28 to 505 of the family's 1533-position model. The record is from RNAcentral.
GACGGACGCUGGCGGCGUGCUUAACACAUGCAAGUCGAACGGAAAGGCCCUGCUUUUGUGGGGUGCUCGAGUGGCGAACGGGUGAGUAACACGUGAGUAACCUGCCCUUGACUUUGGGAUAACUUCAGGAAACUGGGGCUAAUACCGGAUAGGAGCUCCUGCUGCAUGGUGGGGGUUGGAAAGUUUCGGCGGUUGGGGAUGGACUCGCGGCUUAUCAGCUUGUUGGUGGGGUAGUGGCUUACCAAGGCUUUGACGGGUAGCCGGCCUGAGAGGGUGACCGGCCACAGUGGGACUGAGAUACGGCCCAGACUCCUGCGGGGGGCAGCAGUGGGGAAUAUUGCACAAUGGGCGGAAGCCUGAUGCAGCAACGCCGCGUGCGGGAUGACGGCCUUCGGGUUGUAAACCGCUUUCGCCUGUGACGAAGCGUGAGUGACGGUAAUGGGUAAAGAAGCCCCGGCUAACUACG